This 460-nucleotide ribosomal RNA is filed under the name uncultured bacterium. RNAcentral describes it as "partial 16S ribosomal RNA". It matches the Rfam family "Bacterial small subunit ribosomal RNA", at positions 338 to 795 of the family's 1533-position model. The record is from RNAcentral.
CCUACGGGAGGCAGCAGUGAGGAAUAUUGGUCAAUGGGCGUAAGCCUGAACCAGCCAAGUCGCGUGAGGGAUGAAGGUUCUAUGGAUCGUAAACCUCUUUUAUAAGGGAAUAAAGUGUGGGACGUGUCCUAUUUUGUAUGUACCUUAUGAAUAAGGAUCGGCUAACUCCGUGCCAGCAGCCGCGGUAAUACGGAGGAUCCGAGCGUUAUCCGGAUUUAUUGGGUUUCAAGGGUUCUGAGGCGGCCUUUUAAGUCAGCGGGGAAAGUCUGUGGCUCAACCCUUGAAGUGCCGUUGACACUGGGGGGCUUGAGUAUGUUUGAGGUAGGCGGAAUGCGUGGUGUAGCGGUGAAAUGCUUAGAUAUCACGCAGAACCCCGAUUGCGAAGGCAGCCUGCCAAGCCAUGACUGACGCUGAUGCACGAAAGCGUGGGGAUCAAACAGGAUUAGAUACCCCUGUAGUC